AAAAUUUUCCAUUGCCGCGAACUGCACAAGCCCCCAAACGACUUUACAUCACCAAAUUUUAACAUUUUGUUACAAAAUGCCGAUUUUUUUGGAGUUUACAUCUUGUACGAAGCUAAAUGCUAUUAAAUUUACGGUAUAACUUAGCAGAGAGGAGAAAAAUACCAAGCAAUGUUAACAAAAAAAUGAAAUGCUAAAAAAACACGCUGAAGCAAAAACAAAGCAAAUAGAAUAACGUAAGCAGCAUUGGAAAAACGUGUUAAAAAAGAAUCGAUCACAUGUUCGCUAAGACACCUUAAUUGUUCGACACAUUUUUCAUUUUAUUUCGUUUCGAUUUUUUUAUUAUUUUGUUUAGUGUUCAUUUAAUUUUUUUUUAUAUUUUUAUUUCUUAUUUUUUUCAUUUUAAAUUUUUUGUUUUUUUUUUUGUAUUUUUUUUUUGUUUUGUGAAAAGUUUCAAUAAUGACCAAUCGUUUAUUGCCGCUACCACCGCCGGCUACUGUACGUAUGCAUUGUGGCGCUUCCAGAGGCAACUUAUUGCUGUUGUUGCAACUUUUGAAUGAUUCGGUUUCAUUCAAAAAAUUUUCCAUUGCACACCAGCGCAAUACAAGUCAAAUAAAAUCAACAACAACAACGAAAAAACGUUUCACGUGCAGUUUAACCUGAUCUGGCGGCGUAUUGCCUUAAACGUUAUAUGCAACAAACGGACAAGUGAGGCAGCAAAGGCAGCAACAAGCAAUAGCAGUGAGUGCAACUCAAACUCAAGGCACUUGAAAGUAUGUAUUAAGUGCAUGUCAAUCGAAUGCUGAUUUCAACAAUCGCGCGCUGAAACGAUCAAUCUUACGCUUGAUUGAGGAGGCUUAAACGGUCAAACCUUUGGAACGCAGAGAAGGCUAAGUAGCGGAAUAACUAAAAAAAAAAUGUAUUUAAAAAUACAAAAAUAAUUUAAUAUACAUAUAAGUAUAUAUGUACAUACUUAUACAUAUAUAUAAAGCUUGAAAGAAGAAACAGAAGACAAAAAACAACGCUGCUCAUUAAAGGUGUUUAGCCAAAACUAUUAAAUUUUAUGUAUGAAAAUACAAACAAAUAAACAUAAAUACAGACCCCGAAAGACGCGAAUCAAGCCAGCAAAACAAAACCAAUAGCUAUGCAAGCGUCACCUGAACAAAAGAUGUGAGUACAGCGAAAGCAAAAAAAAAAAAAACAGUAAAAACAACAACAACAAACUAUUGUAAUACGCAAUACACUAACAACAGGUGGCAAUUUUACGCUAUACGAGUAAGUAAGCUUCAAUGGAAAGAAGCAGCAAAUUACAACAAACUCUCGUUGAUAGUAAGUAGAUAAAUGCUAGGCAAGUAAGUAAAAGGUGAAACAACAACAAUAGCAACAACACAGCUAUAUAGCUACCAUAUAUGUCUGCUGUUCAUAUCGCUAGUCUGCGUUGCGCCAAAAUGAAUUUGUUUUUCUCUAUUUUGAAUUUCUUCUUUUGCGCGAGAAAUGACAACGACCUAGUAAGACAUGCCGGGAUUGUGCUCUUCUUAUUUUAUUGUUGCUUUUUUACACUUUUGCAGGUGUUGUAUAUGUAUGCAUAUGUAAAAGUGAAUAUAUCUGUAUGUAUGUAUAAUAUGUAUAUAAAAGCAUAUGUAAAAGGUAAUGAGAUGAUGUAUGCUGGUGGAGCACAGUGUUUAAUAUCGCAAAACAUAUAAAAAAAUAAAAAUAAAAAAAUUGUAAAUUAGUAUAUUAUUUAAUUUUUUUAAAUAGUUUACAAUCUGGAAAAAAAACAAUGAUAAUAAUAUAUAUGCAAUACAAUAUCUUGAUUUUAAAAAUCAACUAUAUUCCAUAAACCUUUUUUAUAUUCGGGUGCUACCGAACAUUUUAUUCUCUCGCAAUUUAUUGAUGUAAUUUUAUAAAGAUAACACAAUUUGACUCAUAUAUUCGGCAUAAAGUUUAAUAGAAUAACGAAAAUCGUCAUAAAUAGUAUAUGGGGACUGAGGUAAUUCCUGAACCGAUUUCACUCAUUUUCACCACCAAGAUACAAUAUAUCAAAUCACUCACUUAAUUUUUCUAAGAUAUAUCGCAUAUUAACUGAUUUAUAAAGCCCAUCGUAUUUUUGAAAAACCUAUAAUUAGGUAUAUGGGAACUAGGAGAAGUUAUGACCCAAUCUCAUGAUACUCAAGAUAUUUUAACACAACUUAAGUUAUCCGUUGCAACUCGUCUCGUCAUCCUGAUCAUUUUGAUAUAUAGAACCCUUUUUUUUGCGAAAGUAUAAAAAUGCAAAUAUUUCUCUUCAAUUAAUGACUUUUUGUUACAAAAUUCAAA
Molecule: long non-coding RNA, 2313 nt
Organism: Zeugodacus cucurbitae (melon fly)
Lineage: Eukaryota; Metazoa; Arthropoda; Insecta; Diptera; Tephritidae
Exons: 3
Source: RefSeq, a predicted model, not a curated record